This 500-nucleotide ribosomal RNA is filed under the name uncultured bacterium. Its description in RNAcentral is "bacterial SSU rRNA". It matches the Rfam family "Bacterial small subunit ribosomal RNA", at positions 71 to 582 of the family's 1533-position model. The record is from RNAcentral.
AAGAUUUCGGUUGGAACGGAAAAUGGAAAGCGGCAGACGGGUGAGUAACGCGUGAAUAAUCAACCCUGCACAAAGGGAUAGCCUCGGGAAACCGGGAUUAAAACCAUAUGAAGUAUAUUAAUCGAAUGAUAGAUAUAUUAAAACUUUGGUGGUGCAGGACGAGUUCGCGUCCCAUUAGCUAGUUGGUAAGAUAAAAGCCUACCAAGGCGACGAUGGGUAGCCGGCCUGAGAGGGUGAACGGCCACACUGGAACUGAGACACGGUCCAGACUCCUACGGGAGGCAGCAGUGGGGAAUAUUGCACAAUGGAGGAAACUCUGAUGCAGCGACGCCGCGUGAGCGAAGAAGGCCUUCGGGUCGUAAAGCUCUGUCCUAAGAGAAGAAGAAGUGACGGUAACUUAGGAGGAAGCCCCGGCUAACUACGUGCCAGCAGCCGCGGUAAUACGUAGGGGGCUAGCGUUGUCCGGAAUUACUGGGCGUAAAGGGUGAGUAGGUGGUCAU